RNAcentral lists this ribosomal RNA (484 nucleotides) under uncultured bacterium. RNAcentral's name for it is "partial 16S ribosomal RNA". It matches the Rfam family "Bacterial small subunit ribosomal RNA", at positions 30 to 507 of the family's 1533-position model. The record is from RNAcentral.
AUUGAACGCUGGCGGCAGGCCUAACACAUGCAAGUCGAGCGGAUGAAGGGAGCUUGCUCCUGGAUUCAGCGGCGGACGGGUGAGUAAUGCCUAGGAAUCUGCCUGGUCGUGGGGGAUAACGUCCGGAAACGGGCGCUAAUACCGCAUCCGUCCUGAGGGAGAAAGUGGGGGAUCUACGGACCUCACGCUAUCAGAUGAGCCUAGGUCGGAUUAGCUAGUUGGUGGGGUAAAGGCCUACCAAGGCGACGAUCCGUAACUGGUCUGAGAGGAUGAUCAGUCACACUGGAACUGAGACACGGUCCAGACUCCUACGGGAGGCAGCAGUGGGGAAUAUUGGACAAUGGGCGAAAGCCUGAUCCAGCCAUGCCGCGUGUGUGAAGAAGGUCUUCGGAUUGUAAAGCACUUUAAGUUGGGAGGAAGGGCAGUAAGUUAAUACCUUGCUGUUUUGACGUUACCAACAGAAUAAGCACCGGCUAACUUCGUG